Long non-coding RNA from Asparagus officinalis (garden asparagus), 98 nucleotides. RefSeq lists it as uncharacterized. The transcript has 2 exons. The record is from RefSeq and is a predicted model, not a curated record. Lineage: Eukaryota; Viridiplantae; Streptophyta; Magnoliopsida; Asparagales; Asparagaceae.
AAGGGUGCCGUAAACCCUGUUAUAAAUCAAGGGAAAUGUGGAGCUUGCUGGUCAUUCGUCACGUGUGCAGUGGUAGAAGCUAUAAACAAGAUCAAGAA